UUGAUCCCGCCGGACCUGACUGCUAUCGGAUUGAUACUAAGCCAUGCGAGUCAUUGUAGCAAUGCAAGGCAGACGGCUCAGUAACGCGUAGUCAACCUACCCUAUGGACGGGAAUAAUCUCGGGAAACUGAGGAUAAUUCCAGAUAGAACACUAUGCCUGGAACGGUUUGUGUUCCAAAUGAUUUAUCGCCAUAGGAUGGGACUGCGGCCUAUCAGUUUGUUGGUGAGGUAAUGGCCCACCAAGACUAUUACAGGUACGGGCUCUGAGAGGAGUAGCCCGGAGAUGGGUACUGAGACACGGACCCAGGCCCUAUGGGGCGCAGCAGGCGAGAAAACUUUGCAAUGUGCGAAAGCACGACAAGGUUAAUCCGAGUGGUUCCUGCUAAAGGAACCUUUUGACGGUCCUAAAAACACCGUUGAAUAAGGGGUGGGCAAGUUCUGGUGUCAGCCGCCGCGGUAAAACCAGCACCUCAAGUGGUCAGGAUGAUUAUUGGGCCUAAAGCAUCCGUAGCCGGCUCUGUUAGUUUUCGGUUAAAUCUGUACGCUCAACGUACAGGCUGCCGGGAAUACUACAGAGCUAGGGAGUGGGAGAGGUAGACGGUACUUGGUAGGAAGGGGUAAAAUCCUUUGAUCUAUUGAUGACCACCUGUGGCGAAGGCGGUCUACUAGAACACGUCCGACGGUGAGGGAUGAAAGCUGGGGGAGCAAACCGGAUUAGAUACCCGGGUAGUCCCAGCUGUAAACCAUGCAAACUCAAUGAUGCACUGGCUUGAAGCCAAUGCAGUGUUGCAGGGAAGCCGUUAAGUUUGCCGCCUGGGAAGUACGUACGCAAGUAUGAAACUUAAAGGAAUUGGCGGGGGAGCACCACAAGGGGUGAAGCCUGCGGUUCGCGGUUCAAU
This 899-nucleotide ribosomal RNA is filed under the name uncultured archaeon. RNAcentral describes it as "bacterial SSU rRNA". It matches the Rfam family "Archaeal small subunit ribosomal RNA", at positions 8 to 916 of the family's 1478-position model. The record is from RNAcentral.